This is a non-coding RNA of Taeniopygia guttata (zebra finch), 461 nucleotides long. The record is from RefSeq and is a predicted model, not a curated record. Lineage: Eukaryota; Metazoa; Chordata; Aves; Passeriformes; Estrildidae.
GAUGUCAUGGUCCGCUCUUCUGUACUGGCAACCUUGACUGCCUUCCAAAUCUGCCCUAGCAUGUCUUUCUCCCCUGCAGGUACAUGGCAUCAGGAGAAAAAAUGGGGUAUGUGGGGCAUGCUGUACCAUCAUUUAUUUGUGCCUCUGACUUUUACAACUGUUUCAAGUCAUUAGUUCAAGCACUUCUCCUUUAGAAGCAUGUUACCUGCUAGUUUUGCGUUUUAGUGACGGGAGGGUGCUAUGUACAUCAGGCACAUGGGCUGGCCUAUUGAAAUCUGGUGAGGUGACAGCCCAUAUUCUUUAUUCUCGAUGCUGCUUGCCUGCACCACUCAGAGAGCCCCAUGGGAUUGCGGUUGAGAGGCACAAUGGUGUGGUCAUUAGCUCAGUGACCAUUAAAACUCUCUGUUGCUCUCAUCCCAUUCAAAAAUAAAGUUGAAAAUGGAUAGAUAGCUGAAAAGUAA